UCCACAAUAGGACCGAAUGAUCUGGCCUGGGAUACCAUCAUGAAAACAGUGGGCAUCAUAAGGCUGUGUAAGGAGGUGAGAGCCAUCAAUGAGUUAACAGCCUCAUUAGACCACCAUCAGGGAAGAGUGUCUCGUCUGGGAGUAAACAACCAGGAAGGUCCGGGAGCUGGGGUCAAAGAUAGUGCAGCCAGGUGUAGGCUUCACCCCUCCUUGUUAAUGACACUGAUUGGGAUGGCUGGGUGAUGGCUGUCACAUUAAUAACUUAUUGGCUUGGAGGUGCAAGAAUACGGAUCUUCAAGCUUCAGUGGAAGACAGGGGACACAGGUUAUGUAAGGGUUUAAAUUUUGUUCAGUACCAAAUUCUAGUCUUGAUCCAAUUAAUUUAAAAGAAUAUUGGCAAAAUUUUCCAAGUUUUUAUUCGUUUCAUGUUGCGGAAGAUUCACUCUGUCGGGAUAUAAUGGACUGCCACAUGCUGGUUAUGAAUGGCCAAGAUAUCGCAGUGCUGACAAAUGCCAGAGAACUUUUUUAAGUCAUUAUCAUGUACGGCAGAUAUGUUUUCCCUGAUCUUGGCAUAGCACUUGUUUUAAUGCCGACUAUGGCUGUCUCGGUGGCUUCUUGUAAGGCAACAUUUAGCCAUCUAAAAAUAAUUAAAAACCACCUCUUAUGAUCUAUGAAGCAGGAGAGCCUUUCAUACCUCUCAUUACUCUCCAUUGUGUUAACAUUUCUAGAGAGUGUUGAUGCUGACGGGAUCAUAGAUAACUUAUUCGGUAUAGCUUGAGUUGUAGUCCACUAACAUUAACCUAUUUUAAAUCAUUGUAUAUUUUUCAUCAGUAAGUUUAUAUAGCUUCAUGUUGUGAGUUUGGGUAGUGAGUAAAGUUGGGUAAUCUUGUAUUAAGGUCCUUCAUGCCAGACUUUAUCAAAAGCUUUUAGACACAUCUGUAAGUGUAAUGCUGCACUGAUCUCUGUUGUUGGCACUAUAGGUGUGUUUGUACCUCUGUUUUUGUGGAAUCCGUGUUGCCUCGGGUUUUACUGUUCAGUGCUCGUGUUCGAGGUAUAGUAAUAUCUUUGUUAGGCAGAAUCCCUCAAACCCCAGAACUCUCCGCUAGCCGGAAUUGAAAUUUUCUCGAAAAAUCGUUCCCAAAGCCGGAAUUUUCCAGAAAAAUCCAGCAUUGAGAACGAUUUUCCGAGGGACGCGUUUUCUGGACAAUUCUGAGAUUAUUUUCCCAGUCUCCGGAAAAUUCCGGGGAUGGGAGAUGAAAUGAAAAAUUUCUGGAACUUCUGAGAAUAUUUUUGUUACCCAAAAAUUCCUUAGAUGAGGGAUUUUUUCCAGCUUUGAGAGAGUCGUCUCGUUAUCCGGGAAUCUCUCCCUGGAAGUGCUCUACACCAAUUGUUCCGGCUAAUGGAGGUAUGACUAGUUUGUGAGUCGGUGGUUGAUAAGAAUUUCCAGAAUUUUUCCUGGGAUUUUGAGGAAUGAUGUAGGCCUAUAGUUCUCUUCUUGGGUGAAGUGCUUACCUCAUAGUUGGUUUAGUUGCCUUUCACUGACUUUUUACCUAUUUCAACAAAUGUGUUUUAGUGUUUGGUCCUUUCACGUUGUUCAUCUUCCUCUUGUUUGUAUUUAAUGAGUCUUUUUUAUAGGACAGAACUCGGCCAUGGACAAUUUUCAAUGUAAGUCAGAAUAAGAGUUUGACCAGUCAGUAAUAUUUUCUAGAAAUUGUGCAGUGUAAAGUAUUUUUUUUCAAAGUCUGUGUAAUAUUUUUGAAGACAGAUGUUUGGACAUGGAAAAUUUUCAAUGUACCUGUACCAUACAGUAUGUUUCAUCACUGUAAUAUUUUCAAAUGCAAAAUAUAGUCAUGUUUGGACUUGGAAAUUUUUCCAGAGUAAGUCAAAAUAAAAGAAGGUGUAUAGUCAAACUUUCCUUGUUAUUUCUGAAGACAAAAUACAGACAUUGAAAAAAUCCAGACAUCUUUGGACAUAGAAAAAAUACAGCAAUUUGAGAUGUGGAAUUUUUCUAAGCCGAUUAUUCUAUCCAGUUUUUAUCUCUUCUGAAUUCUGCUAGUUCUUCCUUGUUACUUUGUAGAUCUAUGUAAUGUAAUGAUGCCAGUUUUGAAGACGAAAGAAAUUCAGACUCGCUAACACACUCUCGGUACUGUAUACGACUUUGCUGUUAUGCCACGGGUUUCAUCUGAAUACAGACAUUACAUUUUGAUGAUAUUGAUGGGAUUUUCAAGUGAUUAUGUCAUGUCAAAUUUCUCAGAACAAACAAUGGUGCUAAACAGCUAGAUCAAAUAGUACCAAGAGUAUAUUAGCAAGUCUAUUUCACUCUUCUUCAAAACCAUCAUCAUCAUCUCAGAAUUACAAACACAUUACAAAACCAACUCAUCAACAAGAGCAUUUAGUGUGUAGCCAAAGAUUUUUAUAAAGUGCAAAAAUAUUUAUACAUCAAUAUUUUUGUUUCCCACCAAUAUUUUUACUUACUUCAAAUAUUAACUCCCUUGUCUUGUUUCCAAAUCACCUCCCUCACUGCCUGCCUGUCACAUUAAAACACCUCCCUUCCCAUACUCCUUUAACACUUCACCAUGCCCCAUUUGCCUCCACUCAACUUUGCUAUUUCUCCUAAUUUAUUUAAUCUCUCCAUUUCUAACAUUCAUCCCAUGUUUCAAUACAAUUUAACAUUCCUCCCGUAACCUUAAUACAAUAUAUAUAUAUAUAUAUAUAUAUAUAUAUAUAUAUAUAUAUAUAUAUAUAU
This 2745-nucleotide long non-coding RNA is filed under the name Homarus americanus (American lobster). Its description in RNAcentral is "uncharacterized LOC121870199, transcript variant X2". The record is from RNAcentral. Lineage: Eukaryota; Metazoa; Arthropoda; Malacostraca; Decapoda; Nephropidae.